This 902-nucleotide ribosomal RNA is filed under the name Sebacinaceae sp. B18. RNAcentral describes it as "eukaryotic LSU rRNA". It matches the Rfam family "Eukaryotic large subunit ribosomal RNA", at positions 24 to 915 of the family's 3401-position model. Lineage: Eukaryota; Fungi; Basidiomycota; Agaricomycetes; Sebacinales; Sebacinaceae. The record is from RNAcentral.
CCCGCUGAACUUAAGCAUAUCAAUAAGCGGAGGAAAAGAAACUAACAAGGAUUCCCCUAGUAACGGCGAGUGAAGAGGGAAGAGCUCAAAUUUUGAAUCUGGCGUCUCUGGCGUCCGAAUUGUAAUCUAGAGAAGUGUUUUCCGUGACGGACCGUGCACAAGUCUCCUGGAAUGGAGCGUCAUAGAGGGUGAGAAUCCCGUAUAUGGCAUGGACUCCCGUUGCUCUGUGAUACACUCUCGACGAGUCGAGUUGUUUGGGAAUGCAGCUCUAAAUGGGUGGUAAAUGCCAUCUAAAGCUAAAUAUUGGCGAGAGACCGAUAGCGAACAAGUACCGUGAGGGAAAGAUGAAAAGCACUUUGGAAAGAGAGUGACACAGUACGUGAAAUUGUUGAAAGGGAAACGCUUGAAGUCAGUCGCGCCGUUCGGGAUUCAGCCUUGCUUCUGCUCGGUUUACUUCCCGUUGGGUGGGUCAACAUCAGUUUCGAUCGGAGGAGAAAGGCCUGGGGAAGGUAGCAGCAUUCGUGCUGUGUUAUAGCCCCUUGUUGUAUACUUCGAUUGGGACUGAGGAUCGCAGCACGCCUCUGGCCGGGGUUCGCCCACGUACGUGCUUAGGAUGUUGGCAUAAUGGCUUUAAGCGACCCGUCUUGAAACACGGACCAAGGAGUCUAACAUGUGCGCGAGUGUUUGGGUGUUAAACUCGGACGCGAAAUGAAAGUGAAAAGUUGGGAACACUUAUGUGUGCACCGACGCCCGGAGCUGACCUUCUGUGACGCAUCUGCGGUAGAGCGUAUAUGUUGGGACCCGAAAGAUGGUGAACUAUGCCUGAAUAGGGUGAAGCCAGAGGAAACUCUGGUGGAGGCUCGUAGCGAUUCUGACGUGCAAAUCGUAUCGUCANAUUUGGG